Molecule: non-coding RNA, 73 nt
Organism: Trichonephila clavipes
Lineage: Eukaryota; Metazoa; Arthropoda; Arachnida; Araneae; Nephilidae
Source: the annotation of a GenBank genome assembly
GUCUCUGUUGUGUAAAGGAUGGCGCGUUGGACUUCUAAUCCAAAGGUGGUGGGUUCAAAUCCCGCCUGGGAUG